CGAUCAGCCUCUUCCAGACCCCCCCAGUAGCUACCUUAUUUUCUGGGGGAUCAAAACCAUUAAUUAUGUGUUAGUUUUGAUAAUUACCUGACAUUAAGUGUCUUACCAUGGUCAGUGUCGGGAUUUGUGAAGCCUUAAUUAUCAUGAGCAUAGUUUUAUAUCAAGCACUAACUCUUGGGUAAGACUUUGAGAAGGUCUUAAUGUACUCAAUCUUUGGCAUAUAAAAACAAGUCUAGCAAUGCCUUAGGAAGAUACCAUGAGCAAGGGGUGAGUUAGGAAACUGAUAUACCUAUCCCUCAAUACUGCAUAAACAAUGGAUCGAGGUCUUGUUCAGUAUAUAUAUAUCAGGCACAAUUGUCCAUCUUUUGAGUUAGUUUAUCAAAGACAUAUCACAAUCUUCUACCAUGAGCAAGGGAUGAGUUAGCAGCUUGAUAUAUAUUCCUUAAUACUGCAAAAAUAAUGGAAAGAGGGCUUGUUCAAUAUAUAUUAUCACUCAUAUAGGUUACAAUUGUCCAUCUUUUGAGUUAGUUUAUCAAAGACAUUACUGUAUCUUGUACCAUGAGCAAGGUCCUUAGGGUGACUUAUAGGAGAUAGUUAUACAUUCCUAUGUGUUUCAUAGAGGAAAGGAAGAGAUCUAGAAUGAUAUAUAUUCUAAGGGUUCUUCAUCUCUUAUAGUUUAUUAGUUCAGCAGUGAAAAUCAGUUUUAUGCUGAGUGCUGAGUAUCAACACGUACCUCAAGUCAGCAUGCAUUUGUGUUAUAAGGUCAAUAAACUCAUGGCCCAUAAUCAGUCAGCAUUUAUGAGUCGGCAUUUAAAGUCAGCAUCUCUCUCUCUCUCUCUCUCUCUCUCUCUCUCUCUCUCUCUCUCUCUCUCUCUCUCUCUCUUCCCAGCACGGCUUAAUAUGAUAUCAGCCCUUAUUGAUGUUGCCGUUAAGUACAACAUUAACCAUCAUGCAUGCAGGGGACGAGAAAGCUGAAAAAAAAAAAAAAAUGACGAGGCGGAAGAAUUAUAUAUGGCGAGCGAUCGAGUCUAUUGGCGGGGGUGUUGCCAUUCUGAGAGAAAAAAACUUGUUAUUUUCUCGUAAGUUUAUAUAUUGGAGAAUUUCAUCCAUCCCUGUGUCUCGGUAUGCUAGGUCAGGUCAAGUCAUGCAAUAAACAUGUUCUGUACGAGUGUGAUGACUCCGGAAACGAUAUAUCAGUAGUGUACGCGCUGAGGUGACCGAUCAGCUGAUUGGGUAAGCGGAGAUUUAAACAUUACGUCAUAGCUACCGGAGCUGUGUGGAUUUAAAUUUACAUAGAUUUACAUAGAAAAUCAGACCACACAGACCCCAUGGUCCAGACAUAGGUAGUCUGUCCUUAAACCUAAGUGAUUCUACGUUAAUCCGAUGGCUCCAGAACGUUGCAUUUCUAUAUAGUUAAUAUUGAGUUGAGGGAAAUACACGGCCGAGCUUGUUUUUCAAGGAGUCAGUCGUGUAACACUGGACCACUGAAGGAAGGCAGGAAGCUUAUUUAGGGUGACCAGACGUUCCCGUUUUCAGUGACCUGUCCCCGGUUUUCACUGUGACUCAAAGAUAAAAAAGAACACGAAAAUGUUGAGCAAACUCUACGUAUAUAUAGUUGUGGACCUCGGCGCAGUGUAUAUAGCUAAGGAACUCCCUUCUCCUUUAUUUUUUUACUUGCAACAAUAAACUAUCAAUCAAUCAACCAAAUAGGGUGAGAGACUUUUGAAUGCUGCUCCAUGAAUGGUACUAAGCCCGGCAGUGUCCCCGUUUUGGUUUUUCAGUGACAAAAACGCUACAUUUGGAAGUUUUUAAGCCUCGGAUCCACCGAAAAUGUCCCCGGAUUUUGUCUCAGAAAGGUCACCUUAAUUAAGCUUAGUCCAUCCUCGCACUACAACGUUGAUGAAGAAAAAAUUGGUCCAGUCUACUACUACUACUACUACUACUACUACGAGAAAGAAAUAGACAAGAGAGAGAGAGAGAAAGAGAGGAGGAGAAAAUUAUUAAUAUUUUGACCUUCCCCGCUCUGUCUCGCUUCUCAUAUCCUUCUGCACACUUUUGUACACUUUUCCACACUUACCCACGUCACCCUGCACACUUAAACACGUUAUUAUGCCCCGAGUUCAAGUGUUCUGAAGACUUUACUGAUGCAAACUUUCCCUUCGGGUAUCGUUUUCUUCUUUCGUUAAUACUUAAUAGCAUACCCUGAUCUUAUUCGUCUCCCCUUAUCCGUUAUUUUGAGCGUGUUUUUACCAGUGAACUUGCUCUAUUUAUCCGUCGUCAAGUUCUAAGGUUGUCGUGUAUUAAAGUUCCAACACUAUGAUGACGUCACGGCCUCCAUUUUCCCUGUCGUCUGUGAAGGCUGCCGAGACAGCGCUGUAUUUUUCUUGUUUUUUUAGGUUAUUAUAAAGUGCCCGGAAGCGCCAUGCUGUGGGAAGACAUAAGAAGAAGAGGAGGAAGAACAAGAGGAGGAGGAGGAGGAGGAUGAAGGGGACACACAGGAAUCAAAUGAUACUGCCAGAAGAAGAGGAGGAGGAAGAGGAUACAGAGGAAUCAGUUGACACUACCAAACGAAGAAGAGGAGGAGGAGGACUGGGAAGAAGACGAGGAACACAGGAGGAGCCCAUUGGUGAGUGUUGAUUUAUUUUUUCUAAAAUGGUUAACGAGCAGUCAAGGAAUUUUUAUAAUAAGGAGGGAAAGUGUGAUGUUUUUUUGUAGUUUUGUCAAGUUGUUGAGGGGGAGAAGGCCCCCAUUAGAUAGCUUACACUAUAGCUGGUCUGUUUCGUUAGGGGGGUCCAUGGGCGCAAAGGGGGGAUUAUAUACAUCCAUUUAGACUUUGUGGAUCAUUUUUAGUGGAGGUAAUUCUCUCUCUCUCUCUCUCUCUCUCUCUCUCUCUCUCUCUCUCUCUCUCUCCAUUAUCUAUCUUGGCCGCUUCCAUUAAAAUCUUUCUUAUAUUUUCUCACUCUCAGCAACAGCUUUCUCCCUCUCUGUUCCGUCCUUCUUGGCUCGGGGGCCUCUUAAACAAGGCGUCACAGUGCAGGGAGGCGUUAACAUGAGCCCAGUCAGAGUGGGAUGGACGCAGGAGAGGUUUGAAUUUAAUCUGGGUUUUGAUGACACAAUAUUAACUAUAUCCUGGGAUUGGUAUAAUAAGACACUUUUGCUUCUCACGUCAACUAUGUUCUGUAUUUCUGAAGGUCAAAGAGGAGGCAAUCGGGUUCUAAUGAGUGUUUCUUCAUGUUUUGUAUUGUAACAUGAACCAUUCUCAGGCAGUUUAAAUGCUGGGGCUGACCUCAUCCUUAUUUAAUUGAGUCAAUGAUAACUCUAGGUGGUGGUAUAGAAGCAUAAUUACCGGUAAAAUUAUACAGAAUUAUAAUAUCUGCCAAAAUUAAUACGUAAAGCACAUACUGCACCAUAGCUAUACGAUAUAUGAGGAUGAUAGGUAUCUAUUUAGUAAUGCUGUGAUUACACUGUUAAAAAUCUGCUGCAAGGCUUUGAGGCCUGUCACUAGUGGAGCCUGUGACCACAUGUUGUCUGCAGACCCAUUCAUACGUUAGAGACAGACACACCAGUCGGCUGUGCUAUUUGACGAUGACUGAGGCCUUCACCGUCAAGGAUAAUGAUGACUUUGUGGCGGUCUUGUGGGGUCUGCAUUGCCACCAACUUGGGCAUGUCUUUGGCCAGUAUAGUAAGACAGUUUUGCUUCUUACAUCAGCUAUUUCUAAGGGCUAA
RNA transcript from Eriocheir sinensis (Chinese mitten crab), 3726 nucleotides. RefSeq lists it as uncharacterized. NCBI's taxonomy places the organism in Eukaryota, Metazoa, Arthropoda, Malacostraca, Decapoda, Varunidae. The transcript has 4 exons. The record is from RefSeq and is a predicted model, not a curated record.